This 253-nucleotide ribosomal RNA is filed under the name uncultured bacterium. RNAcentral describes it as "partial 16S ribosomal RNA". It matches the Rfam family "Bacterial small subunit ribosomal RNA", at positions 524 to 776 of the family's 1533-position model. The record is from RNAcentral.
GACAGAGGGUGCAAACGUUGUUCGGAUUUACUGGGCGUAAAGCGCGUGUAGGCGGCUUUGCAAGUCGGAUGUGAAAGCCCACGGCUCAACCGUGGAAGUGCAUCCGAAACUGCAUGGCUUGAGUCUCGGAGAGGAAGGUGGAAUGCUUGGUGUAGAGGUGAAAUUCGUAGAUAUUAGGAAGAACACCAGUGGCGAAGGCGGCUCACUGGCCCGGUACUGACGCUGAGGCGCGAAAGCGUGGGGAGCAAACAGG